RNAcentral lists this long non-coding RNA (423 nucleotides) under Homo sapiens (human). RNAcentral describes it as "HSALNT0341223". Lineage: Eukaryota; Metazoa; Chordata; Mammalia; Primates; Hominidae. The record is from RNAcentral.
GCCCACUGAUGGGAUUGUGACAUAUACCUAGGUCCAGCUCACAGGCAUGAUGAUAACUGUCAUACGUGGACCCAGCCAAUAAGAGAUUUUUGCUCUUAGGCUUAUUACAACAGAAGGCGUUGUAACAUCUCACUAAGCCCAGCACUCAGGCGAUGUGGCUUUCCUGCUAUGGCACUGCACACAAGAAGAAUGUUGACAUAUUCCUGGCCCAGAAUUCAGGUUGUAUUGUGCCAUAUACCUGGGACCAAAUUACAAGCACAAUGAUGAAUCUUUUACCUGGAGUCAAGACAUGGGCAGGAUGAUGGAACUUAUCACUGGACCUUUCCACAGUGUUAUUGUGACAUAUGCCUUUGCCCAACAUGUGGUGAUUUGACUCCCCAGACUGGGUCCAGUUCACAAAUAAAAUUGUGCCGUAUACUUGGC